Molecule: ribosomal RNA, 460 nt
Filed under: uncultured bacterium
Lineage: Bacteria
Description: partial 16S ribosomal RNA
Rfam family: Bacterial small subunit ribosomal RNA
Source: RNAcentral
CCUACGGGUGGCAGCAGUGAGGAAUAUUGGUCAAUGGACGAGAGUCUGAACCAGCCAAGUAGCGUGAAGGAUGACUGCCCUAUGGGUUGUAAACUUCUUUUAUAUGGGAAUAAAAUGUUCCACGUGUGGGAUUUUGUAUGUACCAUAUGAAUAAGGAUCGGCUAACUCCGUGCCAGCAGCCGCGGUAAUACGGAGGAUCCGAGCGUUAUCCGGAGUUAUUGGGUUUAAAGGGAGCGUAGGUGGAUUGUUAAGUCAGUUGUGAAAGUUUGCGGCUCAACCGUAAAAUUGCAGUUGAAACUGGCAGUCUUGAGUACAGUAGAGGUGGGCAGAAUUCGUGGUGUAGCGGUGAAAUGCUUAGAUAUCACGAAGAACUCCGAUUGCGAAGGCAGUUCACUGGACUGCAACUGACACUGAGGCUCGAAAGUGUGGGUAUCAAACAGGAUUAGAUACCCCAGUAGUC